Molecule: long non-coding RNA, 247 nt
Filed under: Elaeis guineensis (African oil palm)
Lineage: Eukaryota; Viridiplantae; Streptophyta; Magnoliopsida; Arecales; Arecaceae
Description: long non-coding RNA (EGUI_LNC000437)
Source: RNAcentral
UCUGCUGUCGUUGUUACUGCUGAGGGGGACGUAUAAUUUUGUCAACCAGUUAACACCGUAUACCUAGUUGUUCCAAAAUGAAACAACUAAAAAAUUAGGAUAAAAGUCCUAUAGUCGGACCGACCAUAAUUCCUUCCAUGGUUGGCCAGACUAUAGAAAUUUUAUCUAGAGAACUAUACGAGAGGCCUCGAGCCUCGGUACUAGCCAACCAUCUAGGUAGGCUAUUUUGAUAUGUGGUAUGGGCCGG